This 2887-nucleotide long non-coding RNA is filed under the name Gallus gallus (chicken). RNAcentral describes it as "long non-coding RNA NONGGAT011776". The record is from RNAcentral. Lineage: Eukaryota; Metazoa; Chordata; Aves; Galliformes; Phasianidae.
GUGCAUGUCUUGCAGAAAUAUGCAGGAACAACUUAAGUUCACCUCCAUAGGUGAACACCUCUAGCCAGCGAUAUGCCUCAGUAUGGAAUGCAGCAGAGCUAAGUCAAUGCCUUAAUUACAGUAAAACAAAGGACACUCCUCUUCACCUAUCUGCCUCCGCUGGUUGCAUGUACUCAUGUCUAUAAAUCAAGACUUGCUUUCAUUUAAGAAAUACACAGCAUAGUUAAGACUAAUGGUAAAUAAAGGUCAUUAAACUAGAUUGACUGGACAUUUAUGUCAAGGUAUGGCAAGUUCAUUUAUAUAAAUAAUCUUGAUUGUUUUAUAACAAGCAAAUACAAUUUCCUCCUCUGGGAGCAGGUGCGGGAGGUGGUUUUAUUUGGUUGUUUGGAUUCUGAAAGUAACAUUCUGAAUAUGGGUGGGGAAAACGAGGAGAAAAUUAAAGUUGUCAUACUACAAAGUGCUUUCUGUAUCUGGGCAAUGCAAUCUUCAUUUCAUCAAAGGCUAAAACCGAAAUCCUGUCACUUGAAAGCUAAGGGAUUUGCCGACUGAGGUGGGAGUCUGCAGUUAGAACCUCAGCACUAAACACACAUAGCUGUUUACCUUGCUGGUGCCCUUGGAUCUGCGAUAUCCCCUGGAGAGCUUUAGAAAGAACCAACAAACAUCUAAGGUGGGUUUAAACAAGGAGGAAGUAAGAAAUCCUGUUGCUAAAUACAAUAAAUAUACCAUAAUUUCACUAAAAUUUUAUGAAAGAUAUUUACUUCCAAAGGACUGAAACUGUUAACCUUCCUCUAAUUUUCUUCUUUUACUCUAGAACUAUUGAGUCAAGUCUUACCUUCCUUGGUUUCACUGCAAUCAUACUGGGACCUCCAGAGAUGCCAGUUAGAACCUUUGUUGGCCAUUGAUCAAAGGAGCAACUGUGCUGAAUCGAAACCUAGGAUGUCUUUUCCUUGGGAUAUGUGUGAGUCAUACUGACAAUGCCUAGAGAGUUUUAAAUAACCUCAUUAAACCUCGUUUCACCUUCUUUGCUACCAGUUAUUGCUGCUAACUGCCACUUCCAUGGAUGUUUAUAGCCUCUCUGCACAGUACAAAACAUUUAAUGUGAAAGAAAUAACAUGCAGGCAAAUGACCCUGCAACCACUCCAAAAGGGAAAGACUUCAGGACCUCCUCGUGCCUGAGGAAGAAGCAAGAAUGGGUAUAUCUGAUAUUUUUCCCUCUCACAAAGCAGCUCAGGCCCUGUAUUGCUCUGUACUUUUGGAUGUAAUACACUUGUGUCACAUUGCUCUCAUGUGUGACUGUCUUCAGAUCUGAAAUCAUCUCUUCCUCCAGGUGGAACAUGCUUUUCUCCGUAGAAAGAUCUCAGUAUAGGGGCAGAAACUGACUGAAUCAUGGUCUGUAUUGCAUUUUCUUCUCCUUGGUCUGAGAGAAAUUGGACAGAAAUGAGUGUUAUGUUCCAACAGUCUCUCUUUAUGUUCAUUGUCCUGGGAUAUGAUGUGGGCAAAGUAACAUUCUGAUCUGCAGUUGUUGAAACAUGACAGCUGGUGCACAGUGUUCUUUCUUUGAUUAAGAAAGGCUUAAACAAAACUUGCGGGACAUCCAGACAGCUCUCCUUCACAGGCUAUGGUGUGAUACAAGAUGUUUCACUGAAGAAAAUGGAACUACUCUGAGAUCAGAAUCAGGUCCAAGGUGAAAGAACAAUGAGUUCUUCUCAACAAUUCUUCGUCAGGUCCAUAUGGAAAGUAGUUAUGCUGCAGAGCAGCGUCAAAACAGCUUAUUAGUUAUAUCCUUCUUCCCUUCUGAGGCAGUUUAAAGGUUUAUGCUGCAUUUGUAGCAUAAGUUUCCGUAAGAAACACAUUCUGUUUGCAGCACAUCAGACUUGUGAAUCCCAAAUUCAUAAUACCAGCUAGUGAAUUCUAGAUGCUGUCUUGGAAACAAUAGUUUUGAGACCUUGUACUUGGAUCUUCCUCAGCCCACCUUCCAGAUCAUGUCCAUAAAACCUCUCCCAUGAUACCCUUCUUGCUGUCAGUUCAUUUUCAUCACAUUAGUGGUCAUCCUCCCGUUGAACUGAGAAAGAAGAAUAGGAAGAAUGUAUUCACCAAUUCUAAUCCAUGCUGAACACAUUUUCAUACGCUUAGGCAUCUUGAAGUCGGUAGGAACAUUUGCAUCAAAGUGUUUGCUGCAGGGGUAUCCUGCUCAUCAGAUUUUACUGGCACCUGUGUACGUGUGGAGAAAACCGUAUAUGUAAAUAUUUGCCGAAACUGAAUUUUCAGUGUGCAGAAGCACUUAUGUCAGUUGUAUGUUUUGGAUCACUCAACUUCUAAGUGUCAGAGCUUCGGGAGUGCCCGCCUGGCACCCUCUGUGGUUCAAGGGAAGGCAAUAUUUGCAAAAGCAGCUCACAGCCAAUCAUGCAGCCUCUUGGUUCUCAGGCUACUGAAUGCCAGUAUGAUCUUGGAGAGGAAAACGAGCAUCUGAUUAUCGGCUCCUCCAGCCAUCUUGUGUCUGAAAUUCUUCCUGAUUUUUUUGGGUUGCAGUCAAAUCAAAAUACUAAGAAAAAGCAUGAGGAACUCCUUGAACUUGUCACAACUCUUGCAAGUCCCCAGCUUUGCCACUUGGAAAAACAUAUCCUGCUACCUGUGCUUUUCUCCUUUGAAGCUUGUCAAGCAGCAAAGUGAGAUCCUUGUUUUCCAGGAUAAAUAUCGUUGGAUGAUAAAAUCUAAAUAAUGUCACAUGCCCUCCAGAACGUUAGCAUGAUGAACAGUUUUUCCAAGACAGGAUUUUAGUGGGAAGAUUUUUGUCUAUUACUUUAAAAACAUUGCAUGUUCUAGAGUCUUGUGACUGGGUUUAAGUGAACGUGUGCAAAUGACAGCCCUUCAGAAUGAUUAAAGUAAC